GGGUCGUUAGCUCAGUUGGUAGAGCAGUUGACUUUUAAUCAAUUGGUCGCAGGUUCGAAUCNUGCACGACCCA
RNAcentral lists this transfer RNA (73 nucleotides) under Escherichia coli EC4100B. Its description in RNAcentral is "tRNA-Lys". It matches the Rfam family "tRNA". From Rfam's summary of the family: Transfer RNA (tRNA) molecules are approximately 80 nucleotides in length. Their secondary structure includes four short double-helical elements and three loops (D, anti-codon, and T loops). The record is from RNAcentral. Lineage: Bacteria; Pseudomonadati; Pseudomonadota; Gammaproteobacteria; Enterobacterales; Enterobacteriaceae.